GUGGCUAUAGCUCAGUCGGUAGAGCACCUGGUUGUGGUCCAGGGGGUCGCGGGUUCAAGUCCCGUUAGCCACCCCAUUC
This 79-nucleotide transfer RNA is filed under the name Cutibacterium acnes KPA171202. RNAcentral's name for it is "tRNA-His". It matches the Rfam family "tRNA". From Rfam's summary of the family: Transfer RNA (tRNA) molecules are approximately 80 nucleotides in length. Their secondary structure includes four short double-helical elements and three loops (D, anti-codon, and T loops). The record is from RNAcentral. Lineage: Bacteria; Bacillati; Actinomycetota; Actinomycetes; Propionibacteriales; Propionibacteriaceae.